GCCAGGUGCAAUGGCCCACACCUGUAAUCCCAGCAACUCAGGAGGCUGAGGUAGGAGGAUUCCAAGUUCAAGGCCAGCCUGGGCAAUUUAGCAGGACCCUGUCUCAA
This 107-nucleotide small RNA is filed under the name Marmota monax (woodchuck). Lineage: Eukaryota; Metazoa; Chordata; Mammalia; Rodentia; Sciuridae. The record is from RNAcentral.